This 327-nucleotide unclassified non-coding RNA is filed under the name Hevea brasiliensis (rubber tree). Lineage: Eukaryota; Viridiplantae; Streptophyta; Magnoliopsida; Malpighiales; Euphorbiaceae. The record is from RNAcentral.
AACACUUAUUAUUUUUGUAGUUUUUACUUCUUUCGGGGAUGGGUAUAUCAUUACUUCAUUGUAGUGCCCCAUUUUGAUUCGAGUGUUGUGGUAGUUUUUGGAAAGGGAAAGAAUAAUCCAUCUUUUAGAUAAGUGUGUACUUAGGUACCAUCUAUCUUUAAUUCAUAUUUUCUUUUAGCUUGUUCUUGAAUAUGAAAUUGGCUUUCUUUUGUAUGUAAUACCUUUACAAUUUUCCAAGUGUAUGUUAGUUAAUCUCAAUUAUUAAUGGGACAAGCAAAAUGGUGAAAAAAAUGCUACACUUGCAGGGAACAAUCCAAUUUCUGGUAU